AUAGAGAUAGCAAGCAACUGAGUUUUCCAUGGACAUAGGCCAGAGGAUAUGACAAAACUUGAUCUCAUGCUGAGGAAAGGUUAUGUGAAGAAAAAAAAAAAAUAUUUUGCAUAUCGCUGCCAUCAGUUUUAUGACUAUUUAUGGCAGAAAUGUUUAUGUGCCAAUUGA
This 168-nucleotide long non-coding RNA is filed under the name Anas platyrhynchos platyrhynchos (common mallard). RNAcentral's name for it is "lncRNA (ENSAPLG00000022934.1)". Lineage: Eukaryota; Metazoa; Chordata; Aves; Anseriformes; Anatidae. The record is from RNAcentral.